GGUCGCAUAGUGUAAUUGGCUAGCACGCUCUCAAAAAACUCCGGGAGAGAUGUCGGUUCAAAUCCGGCUGUGGCCC
This 76-nucleotide transfer RNA is filed under the name Drechslerella stenobrocha 248. Its description in RNAcentral is "tRNA-Und (NNN) (tRNA-Und-NNN-1-1)". It matches the Rfam family "tRNA". Rfam says of the family: Transfer RNA (tRNA) molecules are approximately 80 nucleotides in length. Their secondary structure includes four short double-helical elements and three loops (D, anti-codon, and T loops). The record is from Rfam by way of RNAcentral. Lineage: Eukaryota; Fungi; Ascomycota; Orbiliomycetes; Orbiliales; Orbiliaceae.